Molecule: long non-coding RNA, 290 nt
Filed under: Danio rerio (zebrafish)
Lineage: Eukaryota; Metazoa; Chordata; Actinopteri; Cypriniformes; Danionidae
Description: lncRNA si:ch211-274e20.4 (ENSDARG00000105526.2)
Source: RNAcentral
ACCGCAUCUUUAGGACCCUAGUUUUUUGUGACAGCGUCACCUGUCGGAUUGGAUCAUGGAUGCGCUAAUGGACGACACGGAUGACAAGGAAAGUGCCAUCGUACAUCCUCUGGGUGUCUUGAGGAGCUGGUCUUUGGAUAAUGCUGAGCAGGUCUUUCUUUCUGGUAAAGAUUAUCAUUACAGGAGCUAAAGUCUACAGCCAGUCUGAAUGCAGCAACUGAAUAAACAGUGGGGUCAUUUUUGUGGUUGAAUUGCAUUAUUAAAAAUAAAAGUGUGGAUAUUUAUAUAAA